CAACUCGCCUGCAUGAAGUCGGAAUUGCUAGUAAUCGUAGGUCAGCAUACUACGGUGAAUACGUUCCCGGGCCUUGUACACACCGCCCGUCACACCAUGGGAGUCGGUAACACCCGAAGUCUGUAGCCUGACGCAAGAGGGCGCAGCCGAAGGUGGGAUUGAUGACUGGGGUGAAGUCGUAACAAGGUAAC
This 191-nucleotide ribosomal RNA is filed under the name uncultured bacterium. RNAcentral's name for it is "partial 16S ribosomal RNA". It matches the Rfam family "Bacterial small subunit ribosomal RNA", at positions 1308 to 1500 of the family's 1533-position model. The record is from RNAcentral.